RNAcentral lists this ribosomal RNA (654 nucleotides) under uncultured archaeon. RNAcentral's name for it is "bacterial SSU rRNA". It matches the Rfam family "Archaeal small subunit ribosomal RNA", at positions 508 to 1160 of the family's 1478-position model. The record is from RNAcentral.
GCCUAAAGCGUCCGUAGCCGGCUCUGUUAGUUUUCGGUUAAAUCCAUAUGCUCAACAUAUGGGCCGCCGGGAAUACUACAAAGCUAGGGAGUGGGAGAGGUAGACGGUACUCCGUAGGAAGGGGUAAAAUCCUUUGAUCUAUGGAUGACCACCAGUGGCGAAGGCGGUCUACCAGAACACGUUCGACGGUGAGGGAUGAAAGCUGGGGGAGCAAACCGGAUUAGAUACCCGGGUAGUCUCAGCUGUAAACUAUGCAAACUCAGUGAUGCAUUGGCUUGUGGCCAGUGCAGUGCCGCAGAGAAGUCGUUAAGUUUGCCGCCUGGGAAGUACGUACGCAAGUAUGAAACUUAAAGGAAUUGGCGGGGGAGCACCACAAGGGGUGAAGCCUGCGGUUCAAUUGGAGUCAACGCCAGAAAUCUUACCCGGAGAGACAGCAGAAUGAAGGUCAAGUUGAAGCCUUUACCAGACAAGCUGAGAAGUGGUGCAUGGCCGUCGCCAGCUCGUGCCGUGAGGUGUCCUGUUAAGUCAGGUAACGAGCGAGAUCCUUGCCUCUAGUUGCUACCAUUACUCUCAGGAGUAGUGGGGCGAAUUAGCGGGACUGCCGUAGUUAAUACGGAGGAAGGAGAGGGCCACGGCAGGUCAGUAUGCCCCGAA